GACGAACGCUGGCGGCGUGCUUAACGCAUGCAAGUCGAACGGAGAGGCCCUGCUUUUGUGGGGUGCUCGAGUGGCGAACGGGUGAGUAACACGUGAGUAACCUGCCCUUGACUUUGGGAUAACUUCAGGAAACUGGGGCUAAUACCGGAUAGGAGCUCCUGCUGCAUGGUGGGGGUUGGAAAGUUUCGGCGGUUGGGGAUGGACUCGCGGCUUAUCAGCUUGUUGGUGGGGUAGUGGCUUACCAAGGCUUUGACGGGUAGCCGGCCUGAGAGGGUGACCGGCCACAUUGGGACUGAGAUACGCCCCAGAAUCCUACGGGAGGCAGCAGUGGGGAAUAUUGCACAAUGGGCGGAAGCCUGAUGCAGCAACGCCGCGUGCGGGAUGACGGCCUUCGGGUUGUAAACCGCUUUCGCCUGUGACGAAGCGUGAGUGACGGUAAUGGGUAAAGAAGCACCGGCUAACUACGUG
This 468-nucleotide ribosomal RNA is filed under the name uncultured bacterium. Its description in RNAcentral is "partial 16S ribosomal RNA". It matches the Rfam family "Bacterial small subunit ribosomal RNA", at positions 28 to 507 of the family's 1533-position model. The record is from RNAcentral.